UACAGAGGGUGCAAGCGUUAAUCGGAGUUACUGGGCGUAAAGGGCGCGUAGGCGGUUGAAUGGGUGUGAUGUGAAAGCCCUGGGCUUAACCUAGGAAGUGCAUCGCAAACUAUUUAACUGGAGUAUAUGAGAGGGUGGCGGAAUUUCCGGUGUAGCGGUGAAAUGCGUAGAGAUCGGAAGGAACGUCAAUGGCGAAGGCAGCCACCUGGCAUAAUACUGACGCUGAGGCGCGAAAGCGUGGGGAGCGAACAGG
This 253-nucleotide ribosomal RNA is filed under the name uncultured Aquicella sp. RNAcentral's name for it is "partial 16S ribosomal RNA". It matches the Rfam family "Bacterial small subunit ribosomal RNA", at positions 524 to 776 of the family's 1533-position model. Lineage: Bacteria; Pseudomonadati; Pseudomonadota; Gammaproteobacteria; Legionellales; Coxiellaceae. The record is from RNAcentral.